This 492-nucleotide ribosomal RNA is filed under the name uncultured bacterium. RNAcentral describes it as "partial 16S ribosomal RNA". It matches the Rfam family "Bacterial small subunit ribosomal RNA", at positions 29 to 507 of the family's 1533-position model. The record is from RNAcentral.
AGUGAACGCUGGCGAUAGGCCUAACACAUGCGAGUCGAACGGCAGCACAGUAAGAGCUUGCUCUUACGGGUGGCGAGUGGCGGACGGGUGAGGAAUACAUCGGAAUCUACUUUUUCGUGGGGGAUAACGUAGGGAAACUUACGCUAAUACCGCAUACGACCUACGGGUGAAAGCAGGGGAUCUUCGGACCUUGCGCGAUUGAAUGAGCCGAUGUCGGAUUAGCUAGUUGGCGGGGUAAAGGCCCACCAAGGCGACGAUCCGUAGCUGGUCUGAGAGGAUGAUCAGCCACACUGGAACUGAGACACGGUCCAGACUCCUACGGGAGGCAGCAGUGGGGAAUAUUGGACAAUGGGCGCAAGCCUGAUCCAGCCAUACCGCGUGGGUGAAGAAGGCCUUCGGGUUGUAAAGCCCUUUUGUUGGGAAAGAAAAGCAGCAGGUUAAUACCCCGCUGUUCUGACGGUACCCAAAGAAUAAGCACCGGCUAACUUCGUG